UACGGGGGGUGCAAGCGUUAAUCGGAAUUACUGGGCGUAAAGCGCGCGUAGGCGGUUACGUCAGUCGGAUGUGAAAGCCCCGGGCUUAACCUGGGAAUUGCAUUCGAUACUGCGUGACUAGAGUCUGGUAGAGGGUAGCGGAAUUCCAGGUGUAGCGGUGAAAUGCGUAGAUAUCUGGAGGAACAUCAGUGGCGAAGGCGGCUACCUGGACCAAGACUGACGCUGAGGUGCGAAAGCGUGGGGAGCAAACAGG
Molecule: ribosomal RNA, 253 nt
Filed under: uncultured bacterium
Lineage: Bacteria
Description: partial 16S ribosomal RNA
Rfam family: Bacterial small subunit ribosomal RNA
Source: RNAcentral